RNAcentral lists this long non-coding RNA (1174 nucleotides) under Coturnix japonica (Japanese quail). RNAcentral describes it as "lncRNA (ENSCJPG00005009656.1)". Lineage: Eukaryota; Metazoa; Chordata; Aves; Galliformes; Phasianidae. The record is from RNAcentral.
GUUAUGUUUUGGCUUUAGGAGAAAAACUAAAUAAAUCAAUGUUGAUAACACACCAGUAUUUUAGAUUUUGUUGAGCACAGAAUUAGAGAUGUUUCGUGACCUUAUCUGGAAAAGAGACUUUCUACAUCAUGUGACAUGAUGGGAAAAACUAUAAAACACUGUAGGCAACAACCAGUAGCCCUCACUUCAUUUCAGUUAACAAGGAAAGAGUGAAAAGUCAUGGAAAAAAUAUGAUAAUAUUAAAGAAUUUGGAAUCAGGUUAAUGGGAAGGCCCAUUCCUGCUGAUAACUUGGAGGAGAGCAAGAAUGCUUAGGAUAAACUGUAUUGGUUAUUGUCACUGUCUUUGUGAUUGUUAAAUGUUUAAGUCCCCUGCAGCUCAGCGACACUGGGCCACUGCCAUCGUGGUCCUUGGUGUGCCGCGACAUAUCAAGACAGACAAUGGCUCGUGCUUCAUCUCGCAAUCUACUCAAGAAUGGCUUGAGCAUUGGGGAAUAUCUCACUCGACAGGAAUCCCUGGGAAUUCCCAGGGGCAAGCAAUUGUGGAAAGGGCCAACCAUCUCCUGAAGGACAAGAUACGUGUCCUUGGGGAGGGGGAAGGUCACAGAGAAUAGAGCUGCAAUAGAUUUCCUGCUGCUGGCUCAAGGGUAUGGGUGCAAGGACUUUGAAGGGUUGCUUACAACUUACGAUGGAAAGAGUGCUUAAUGAGAGAAUGGAGUUCCAGCGGAUAUACAAGAAGCUUUGCGCAGAAGGAUGAACUGUAUAAUAUAACCAAAGAUGCCUUGGACAUACUGGUUAGAACACCACUAACAUUGUUAGGCAUUGCACCACUUAUCUCUGCAUGUUUUGUAACCUGUAUACCUCACUUUAUAGUUAAUAUGUAACAAAGUUUAAAUUGUAUAAGGACUAACACUUUUAUAUAUUAGGAUUAGGAUCGGCGCUUGCGUUGUAACGGGGCAUGGUUUUGUUAAGCAUGGGGGGGGGGAGAUGUUGCAUUAGGCGUGCACGAACACUCGGGAUGUAACGCGAUAGGCCCUCCCCUGCUCGGUUAUGCAUAUGUAGAAGGAGUUAUGCAUAUGUAGAAGGGGUUAUGCAUAUGUAGAAGGGGUGUAGACGAAGUAGAUAGCGGCUUAUUUAAACCGCUAACACACACAAUAAAACGCCAUUUAGCUAUUCA